GCUGGGGGCUGCUUUAGACUGCUCCUUCCUGAUCUUGCCUGAUUNCAGAAGUUAAAACAAGGCCAAAUCUGGUUAGUCCCUGGAUGGGAGACCCGUAGGAAUCCCAGUUGCUGCAAACU
Molecule: ribosomal RNA, 119 nt
Filed under: Salvator merianae (Argentine black and white tegu)
Lineage: Eukaryota; Metazoa; Chordata; Lepidosauria; Squamata; Teiidae
Source: RNAcentral